AAAGUUUCGUAAGGCAUUUGCUA
Molecule: small nuclear RNA, 23 nt
Filed under: Arabidopsis thaliana (thale cress)
Lineage: Eukaryota; Viridiplantae; Streptophyta; Magnoliopsida; Brassicales; Brassicaceae
Description: snRNA_15066
Source: RNAcentral